ACUGACCUGCCCCGUGGAUGAGCCAUGCUGAAGUUUGAGAACCACUGGCUUAAUUAUGAAACGACUGAGGCCAGAGUGCCCCUAUGCCAUCUGGACUGGACCCUCACGACCUGAGCAGGAAACAGAGCUUCACAGCACUGCCUUGCCACCCUUCCCAGAAGGACACGUGGAUGACGACUUUCAAGAGUGCCAACAUGUCUGGAAAAGAGCUCUGGGUCUGCAAGAAGCAGAAGACCUAGGUUUUUAUUAUUAGUAGCAGAGCAGCCCUGCCUUAUAUCUAACAAGAUCCAGAAAGCCUGCAUCCCACAGUGAGGAGGACACAGUAAGCUUUUCAGAUCCAGUAGAGAAGUAGAAAUCAGGGCAAAGGAACGCAGCAAGAAGACGAAUUGUAUGGCUUCAACCUUAAGUAGAGCAGGCAGGGUCUCACUGUUCAGUGUGAGCACUUUCCACCCCAGGUCUCGGGCAGCUGGAUGGAUGUCAAGCAUCUAAAAGCAGCCCAGUUAGAACUGACUCAAAGAGGAAGUUUAUUCUGAGCCUGUGUGAGGGUGAACACAGAAGUAAGAGAGAGAAACGGAGAGAGAGAGACGGAGACAGAGAGACAGAGACUCAGAGAUCAAUUCAAAAUCCAAAGCAGCCUCGGGCCACUUCAUUUCAGAACAAAGCUUCAACAUAAAAAUAAUAAUAAUAUUAUUAAGGAUAUUAUAGUAUCACAGAACAGCAGUGAAACUGUUCAACUAUGAUAUGACUUCCCAAUAAGGUGAUGAAACAUAAAACUUUUAAAAUAAGAGACGAAUAUUUUAGCUCAACUGUAGGCUCUAAACCUAUUUAUGUUCAGUUAAGGUUUUAACGUUUUAUAAAGAAAGGGUGGUCUUGGGAUAUGUAUCAGUCACAGUUCUCCAGAGAAGCAGAACAAAUAGAAUAUACGUUAUGUUAUAAAAUAGAGACAAGGGAAUUUAUUCAAUCAGCUCCCAUGAUCAGAAGCUCUCUCUCGGUGGGAGCGCUGCAGAAGCUGCUAGCUGCUCAGUCUAAGAAGCUGCAAGUCUCUGUGUGAGAGGGAAGUGACGCACCCUGCAGUCGGAAGCUGAAAACCGGAAAUUCCCCGGAGCUUCGCUGUGCGUGUGUGUUCAAAGGCUGUGGAGAACAAGGCCCAUGGGUGAUGGUAGCGACAAACCCUCCUAGUCGAGGAGGGUCAGGUGUGCCGAGGGAGCUUCCCCUCCUGCGUGCUUGCUGAGUCUGCCCCUGCCCACCAGAUGCUGUGACCGUGUCCAGGGAAGGUCUCCCCGCCUCAGUCCACUGAUCCGUCGGCCGAUCAUCUCAGGAAGCACCCUCACACAUACUCCCAGACCAGUGACUACUGAUUUCCUAAGCAUCCCUCAACCCACUCAAGUUGGCAGCAAAAAUGACCAGUCACAGUCUAUGGUUCAUGUUCUACCACAAGCUUAAUAUACUUACAGUAAAUUGUAAAUAUCA
Molecule: long non-coding RNA, 1470 nt
Filed under: Chinchilla lanigera (long-tailed chinchilla)
Lineage: Eukaryota; Metazoa; Chordata; Mammalia; Rodentia; Chinchillidae
Description: lncRNA (ENSCLAG00000025207.1)
Source: RNAcentral